CUACACUCACCGGCCACUUUAUUAGGUACACCUGUCCAACUGCUCGUUAACACUUAAUUUCUAAUCAGCCAAUCACAUGGCGGCAACUUAGUGCAUUUAGGCAUGUAGACAUGGUCAAGACAAUCUCCUGCAGUUCAAACCGCGCAUCAGUAUGGGGAAGAAAGGUGAUUUGAGUGACUUUGAACAUGGCAUGGUCGUUGGUGCCAGAAGGGCUGGUCUGAGUAUUUCAGAAACUGCUGAUCUACUGGGAUUUUCAGACACAACUAUCUCUAGGGUUUACAGAGAAUGGUCCGAAAAAGAAAAAAUAUCCAGUGAGCAGCAGUUCUGUGGGCGGAAAUGCCUUGUUGAUGCCAGAGGUCAGAGGAGAAUGGCCAGACUGGUUCGAGCUGAUAGAAAGGCAACAGUGACUCAAAUAACCACCCGUUACAACCAAGGUAGGCAGAAGAGCAUCUCUGAACGCACAGUACGACGAACUUUGAGGCAGAUGGGCUACAGCAGCAGAAGACCACACCGGGUGCCACUCCUUUCAGCUAAGAACAGGAAACUGAGGCUACAAUUUGCACAAGCUCAUCGAAAUUGGACAAUAGAAGAUUGGAAAAACGUUGCCUGGUCUGAUGAGUCUCGAUUUCUGCUGCGACAUUCGGAUGGUAGGGUCAGAAUUUGGCGUCAACAUCAUGAAAGCAUGGAUCCAUCCUGCCUUGUAUCAACAGUUCAGGCUGGUGGUGGUGGUGUCAUGGUGUGGGGAAUAUUUUCUUGGCACUCUUUGGGCCCCUUGGUACCAAUUGAGCAUCGUUGCAACGCCACAGCCUACCUGAGUAUUGUUGCUGACCAUGUCCAUCCCUUUAUGACCACAAUGUACCCAACUUCAGAUGGCUACUUUCAGCAGGAUAAUGCGCCAUGUCAUAAAGCUGGAAUCAUCUCAGACUGGUUUCUUGAACAUGACAAUGAGUUCACUGUACUCAAAUGGCCUCCACAGUCACCAGAUCUCAAUCCAAUAGAGCAUCUUUGGGAUGUGGUGGAACGGGAGAUUUGCAUCAUGGAUGUGCAGCCGACAAAUCUGCGGCAACUGUGUGAUGCCAUCAUGUCAAUAUGGACCAAGCUCUCUGAGGAAUGCUUCCAGCACCUUGUUGAAUCUAUGCCACGAAGAAUUGAGGCAGUUCUGAAGGCAAAAGGGGGUCCAACCCGUUACUAGCAUGGUGUACCUAAUAAAGUGGCCGGUGAGUGUAUGUCAUCAUUUGUUGAACCCUCAUCUGCAUUUCUGCCGGAGGUAGCACUCAGGAGUGCUGUCGGCUUCACCUGUUCAAGUGCUAUGGUUGCAUGUAGCUGCAGCCUGCUACUACCCAGUUGUUUGCUACUUGGUUCAACACGAAGCGGACCAAGAGCAACUCCCCUUUUCCAUUAGCUAUACGUAAAGUCGACCAAAACAAGGCAGAAUGCCUACUAUCGAAAAGAAUACUGACCAUGUUUCAUAUUGAUAUUGAGGGAAAUUUAUUUUCGAUAUAUAUCCCAUUGUUUUAUUGCCCAGCCCUAGCUGCGACCAAACUGUCCUGCAUACAUUCUCCAAAGACUACAGUUCAGUAUGGACUUUUCACAUGUGUAUGCAAAUGAAAGGGAAACUGUGCAAAGUACACAGCAGCUGAGGGCCUAGGAUGGUACAAACACUUUGGACAGCAGUGCAAAAUGCAUCCAAGGAUCUCCUGCAAACACAGCUCCUGUCACACAUGUCACGUAGACGGCGUAGAGAACGAAUGGCUGUGGAUGCAUGGUGCGGAGGAGAUAAACACAAGGAUCCCCCCGACAAAACAAACCUCUGGCUGAGUCCCAAACAACUGAGAAAAUAAACCAAAAACUCGACUCAAACAUUUGGGCCAGAGGGGCGAGUUCAUUUUUGUGUUUCUAGGAAGCACAACACACCCCGCACGCAUUCAGAGAAUAAACGAUGAACUCAAGUAACUGUUCUCCUUAUCUUUUUUAAUAUGAAAAAAUGUGUGCUUGUGCUAAAUUUGCCAUGGGUCGGGGAAGGAAAUGGCACAUUUAUUCUACGCUCGAAAAAGAAAACAAUCCAAAGGCAAAAAAAGGAUGAAAAGAAAAACACAGCAACAGAAAUGGGAAUUCAACACUUUACGGUGGCAGAGCCCGAGCCGGUCAUACCGGCACAAUGACAACCUAAACUUAAUGGAAAUGAAAACACUAAAGCAAAGGAAACUUACUUGUAACUUCCUUCCACCUGGCAUACCAUGAAGACAGCUGAACACAGCCGUCGCCCCUAACCACAGCCUCCACUACAGUGUAAAAUAUAUGAAAUACAGGGACUUUAAACUCUGCUGUGGUAAAAACUAAUUCAGUUAAGUGGUAGUGAGGACUCUGCGAAACAGUGACCCCGUCCAAUAACAACACAUCCUGCUUCAGAUUAAAUGUAAGGGUCAUACGUCCAUAAACUAAAUCAGCAAUUAGUGCUCCUUAAGUUCUCAGAGACAGGCUGUUAUUUUUUCACUGAAAUAAAAAUGUAGUAACUGUGCGACAUUAACGGAUCGCAAAAGAAAACUAUGCUAAAACAACCUGACGACACAUCGUGUCUGAGAUUUUAUGAGGGAGAAAUGUUGAUUUCAGCUUCACCAGCUUUUACCAACCUUCAGCUGUGUUAAAAUCAUGACUUUUGCCCACUUUAAAAAUACUCCUGAGCUGUACAAGAAUUUUCUGCCAAAAUAAACGAUAAAAAAGUCAAACGUUUUGAUGCUUUCUGCUCUGGUUUCAUAGUGAAUUCUGUUACCACUUCUUUAUAUGUUUGAUGUAAGCCACGUGACUUUGCAAAGCAGCGGCUGUAACAUAAAUACACCUAAAACAGAGAAGCGUAAUAAAGCUUCACCCUCCUGCUCACACUCAGCUCCCACACAUCACCCUGGCUGCCUUAGUAGAAAAGUGAAUUUGAAGGGCUCUUCAUCUUUACUCUGUGUUGGUAUAUGCAUGUACGAGAGUCCUGCAUGAUUCACUGCGGAUGGCACAGUGCGGCUGACAUUACCAAGAUUUUAAUGUGCUGUGCGUGAGAUUGCUUUAAGGUUGUAAAAAAUAUCAAAGCCCAGAAGAGGAUAUGAACCUGGGCUGCUGUGCAUUGUUACCGAGCAGAGUGUGGGAAGCAUAGAGAGGCCGGGAUAAUAGAUCCCCUCCAGACUGCACCAUGAUGGAUGCACCAUAAAAAAGUCCACACAGCCUCCAACAGCUUUUAAAAGUUCAAAUUAGGGCAGUUUCCUGUUUUGUUUUUUUGACAUAACCAUCAAAGACACACUGCUGUAUAUUUUAGCCGAGUGAAAAUCAUGUUUAUGGUUUAGUGUUUAGCUCAAGGGCUUUUUGGUUUUCACUUCAAUACAAUCACAAAAAAUCAUGAUAUUACAGUCCUGUCUGAAACGGAGAAUACUCACUACAAUGGGAACAUGAAUAAAAGGAAAGGUGGAGAUUUUUUCCAGCUGAAGUUAAAAAGAUCAUUUCAUGAUCAUGAAUCCAUCAUAAUAAAAACAAAGUGCCAGUAAAAUAUUCUGAGGAUCAAAACCUUAACUUUGCAUGGAGCUGCUUGACUAAAUCGCUUAUAAUUAUAUUUAUAUAAUUGUUUUCAUCAUUGUUAUUGACUAAAUUAGUCAUAAUUCUGCGUUUAUUAUCAGCACUUCUGCACCCACAGAUUUCAAGUUCAAUUUUCUGAUUUCUGCCCAUCAAUGAUUCUGGUACAUACUGAACUUUCUGCCCGUCAAUUUAAAAGCCGACUGUGAUUGAACAAAGAAACUAAAGACGCUAAAUCAAAAUUUAUCUUCAAAAAAGUGUCAAAGCCAGUAUGUUGAGUAAAUACAGGGAAAUAUGUUAAUCUAAGUCUUGGUAUGUUGGUUUUGUGAAAAAAGUUUGUAUUAACAUGGUCUUUUCUGUUCGUUUUGUGGGUUUAUUUUUGAAAAUAAAAAAUACUGAACUGUAAAAAGGCAUGUUGGUCUGCAGCUCUUGUUUAUUUUAUUAUGUGUUUAGUUGAUUAAUAUAUUAUGAAAGAGGGGCAGACUCUUUAAGAGUUUUCUUCUUUCUGCUCCUUUUCAUUCACAUGUUUGAGAUUUUUCCUUGUUUGUAUUGAAUGUUUUAAAUAUUAACUGAAUGAAAUAAAGUAUGAAAAUGAAAAAUAAAAUGAAAUGAUUUUUACCUAAUGUUUGUCGUGGUGUUGCACUGCCAGAUCUGAAUGUUUGUUGAUAUGAUUAAGAUAAACUCGCCACUCCAGAUAUUUCAUGGCACCAGGCUGACACCGAGUAAGGUGUGGCACAUGCCAUGAAAUUACACGCUUCUGUAAAAACCAUGGCACUAAUUACUUUAUCAUGACACAAAUGUAGGGUUUCUAUAAAUACCGACAGUCCCAGUUUAAGUGUGGGAAGUGGUCUUAACUUUGUUUUGCAGGGGGUUUACUUUCUCUGUAUUUCAAAGUGUAAGAGCUGCACCUCUGCAGUGGAAGUGUUAUUGUUUUCUUGCAGCGGGUUCUCAAAGGACGUGUUUUAUUUGUUGAAGCUGCACCACUUGACAGACACAACUGUGAAGAGAAGCAGAUUAACCUUCCCAGACCCCUGAAGUCAAACCUCUCACUCUGUCUGCCUCCCAUCACUCUCCUUUAUCCGUCUUUCCAGCUUUGAUUUCCCACUGUCUAAUUUCUUCCUCAUUCCUAGUUCUUCCUCCUCUCUCAUCUAACGCGUCCUCUUGCCGACUCCUCAGGUCUCACGCUGUCAUACCUCACCGCAAAUGAGCAGUCUGGCUGUGCACACAGCCACAUGGGAACCCCUUUCACACUGCACCACAACACAGUCCUAAUUAGCCCAGAAACUAGCGGCUUCAGUUUUGAGUCUGCACAGCUCGCCUUUCCAAUCCCCUGUCCAACAAUGUUUGUCUGGAUGAGUAUAGGUUAAUUACAUCCAGUUCAACCCUUGGACUCCUAUCCCCCUCUUGUUGUUAUUUUUUUCUAUAAAGUUUUGUUUUUGUUAACUUUUCUCACAAUACAGGUGUGAACCAUAAAAUAUCUGACCAGUGCAUUCGCUUAGCUUUUAAAUCUGAUAUAAUCAACAACAAAGUUAACAGAUAUUAAAAGUCCACCCAAAUAAAUGACCACACAGUCAGCUAACCUCCUGGGGGGCAGAUGUUUAUGGGCUGAUGAGUCACCCCAUGUGUGAUUUCUCUGUUUUUUGGCGUCGCCAUUCUGUAACUCAGUAACUAAACGCUGCGGUCAACGGACUUCAUGUUACCGAGACCUCUGACAGUUUGGUUGACAUCACCGCUGCCCACAAAAGAGAGAUGGCUGUUUACCAAGUUUGCACCAUCAUUAAAUAAAAGAUCCCACUUAUAAAGAUUACAGUAAAUAAAACACAGUUGAAUAAAGCAAAAAACCAUUUAAACAUAUCAAAAUAUAGACAUGAAUGGUAGUGGAAAACUUUGCUUUUUAGCCAACAAUAACAAAUUCUGUUCGUGGUAUGCACUGAUUUAAAAAAUUCAACUUAUUGUGCAAGUUGUGUUUUUUGGAUUUGGGAGGUGCUGAUGUUCCUGGGACUGAGUUUGUUUAUUGUGCUGUUUUAAAGUGAUGAAAACUGCUGAAAAAUGACGGUGGAGAUUCAAUGUGACGCAGACUGGGUGGUGGUUAAUCACAGAACUGGUGGUUUUUGAAGAAACCCUGGAGUCCUUACAGUUACUGGAAAUGAAGCAGGAGAAGUAGGAGGACCUGGCCUUCUUUCGAGCUUAAUGAUAAGAAGACUCCCAGUUUUACAUUAUAAAUGCCAUUUGUCUUUAUUUUUCUGUUCAACCAAAUUUUACUCACUAUAUUUGGAUUUAGCCAGGCCAUCUUUCCAGUUGGAUUAAAUUGUUUGUUCUUGAGCAUCAGAAUCUAAUACUGCUCUACAUGUUAUUGAAAACUCUACCAAACUUUUUCAGUUCAGCAAAUCAAGAGUUUUUCAAUUCUCUUGCCUAAAGACGCAUUUGAAAAGCCAUCACAAAGGCUAUCCAAGGAUGAAAAAAGAACAAAAUAGGUGUUGCAGCGCAGCAUGAGGGUGAAAGCAAGACCUUGAAAGAAGCUUUGUGGUCAGAAACACAAAUGCAUUUGCAGAGUUCAGCACUUUAAAGAAUAAAGAAUACAUCUGAGGUGAGAACAAUGUCAAGGGUACAGUCUUUAAAAUGACUGGCGGAUAAACUUUUAAAUCAACCAAAGGAAUAAAGUAGUCGCCAUGCUGACCAGCUAAACGCUUAAAGCUCCGGUGAAGAUCUUUGUUUGUUUGUUUUUCAACUUUGGCGCCCCUUGUGGCCAAAUCAAUCUUUGCUUGUAUUGUAUUCUACAUGCUCAAGUAAUGUUUCUUAAAAACAAACCUCAUCCUGCUGACUUUUGAGAGUUAUUCAUUAACCAUGAAUAUUUAUGCAGAAACUAUAAUAGCUGGGGUGUUUCUUCUUGGCAAAUGCCCUCUCGUACUCGUCUUGUCCCUGAUGGCCUUAUUUGCUUUUCGAUAUCACAAAAUAGCAACAAUAUGAAUUUCAGUCUGGUUCAUAAAUAUCCACUAUGUCCCAUAGAAGCUCGAAAAGCAUAACGAGUCCCCACAGAAAUUCAAUGCUGAGGAAAGUUGAAAUAUAUAUCACUUCCAUGUAAUAAGUCAUUUGUGGUAGUAUGGUUCUGGUUUGCAUGAUUCAUGUGUGCUCAUGAAAAAUCAAGGCAGGGAGAAGAGCGGCCAAAACCCCUCAAGUAUGUGGUGGUACGACUCUGUUCUGAGAUCUCCCUGCUCUCCUGGUGAGUGUAUGAAAAUGUUCAAAGUCUGAGGUGAGGAGAGCACACCUUUCACGAAAGCUAGAGCAGGAAGAGCAUCAGCCAAGACUUCUGAUGCAGAACAGAUCAGCAUCAGUGAAAAUCCACGAGACUCUGGUAAAAUCAGACCCAGCAUAAAAAGGAGGAGGUAGGGUGGAGGCAGGGGGAGCAUCAGCAAAGACUUCAGGGGGAGCAUCAGCAAAGACUUCUGAUCUAGAACCAAUCAGCAUCAGCCCAAAUGUCAUUGAUAUCAAUACAAAGCCAACUUUGAAGUGAUCAGAUUAUUAAAAGCCUUUUUUCAAUAGGCAUCAAAGCUGAGAGAACAGAGAGUACAAAUUUGAUCGUACAACUUCAAGUCCUGGCUAGAGCUAAUUGUCUUGGUUACAACAGUUAACACAUGGUCCGGGUUUUUAGACAGUUGCAGUCAAUGGUCUUAUGCGGACUUUCAUGCUGUACAAUGCUGCAUGACUAUAUCCAAACUUUGCAAAGCUCACAGUUAACCACAAAGAGCUGUCACAGAAAUGCAUAUGUGGGACAUUUUAUCAAACAUCCAAAAAAAGAGAAAAGAUUAACUCCAUUUAACUGAACUUGGAUCACCAACAUCAGUUUCAUUAGCAAGCAGCAAACCACAAAACGUAAUAGUCGUCUCCUAGCAACAGCAGCUCUUGAAUGUCAGUCAACUAACGAUGAGACAGUGUGUCUUUGGAUAAGUCUAUAAACGGUACAACUCUCCUGAUAUUUACAGGUCUAUUAUUUAUUUGUUUUUCUUACAGUCAGGGGAAUCAAAAUUUCAGAUCUGCUUCAAACUUUAGGCUCUUUUCAAAUUGUCAGGCUUGUGCAAUGUUGUGCGGAAACAAGCGCACACAGACUUUGAAAGCAAACAGACAGGAUGUUUUUUACCUUACCUCCAGUUGGUGUCUAUUUGUGUGUGUCUCUGCUGCACUCUCUUUUCUUAUCAUAUGUGUGGUAAGACAGCUGACAAUACACUUUAGCAGCCAAUGCAUUGGGGGGUAGAGAGUUUAUCUGACAUUUCAGAUAAACACGGUAUCUUCUUUCUCUCAAAAGAAAACCAUUUGAUGACGAUUUAAAAUAUUAACUACUCCUCUGGUUUGUGGAUUUUGUCUCUAUCUAGCAGAGUCAAUAUGUAGCCUUAUGAAGAAUUCAUGCAAACAAAACAAAUUCCAUCACUAGAGUGGGUAUGAAACAGUCAGAGAGGCACAGAGAAAAAAGCACAACCACACUGUGUAAGAAUGGUUUGCAAACACUUAAUAGAUGAUAAAAAAAUGUUCAUUCCAAAUUCAUGCUAAUAUGGCACAGUGUCUGUUUAUUAUCUGUGUAUGCAGCCAGGCCACAUGGGAGGACAGCUAUUGAGUUAGAGGGCUUUUAAAUGAGGCAUUUAGGACGUGCCAUAAAGAAGCUAUUAACUGAUUUGUUCUCUAUAACACAGUUUUACACAGUCCACAGGAAAACUUACACACUGACAACUAGGAAGGUAAGACUUAAUGAAAGUCACAAAGGUUUGCUUCUCCUAGUCUGAAUGGAAUCUGCUUUGAUUGGGUAUUUUAUAAUAUUCCACUUUUCAUAACUCUUUCUAAAGGUCUUCUGCACUUCAUUUGUGCUUUGAAACCGCCUAAAGACCUUGGGCGGCACAGAGUAUCCAGAUUUUUAAAAGCCUACCUUUUUAGUAGUUUUUUUUUUUUGUUUUUUUAGAUUUUGGGGUUUUAUUAUUCUACUCAUCAUGUCAUUGUAUUUUUUUAUUCAUUCCUCUUUCUGAAUGUGCUAUUUUAAGUGUAAACAUUUUAAGCAUUGACCAAAGAUCGGUAUUUUCACGAUUUAUAAUCAGCAUCUGACGUUUUUUUUGCCACCAAUGCAAAUACAUUUAUUUUAAAACGUGCUUUGUUGGCUUCACACAGCCGCCUCUAUCUGCCUGAUGUCACCACUCUUGACUGUGUUGGCUACACAGACAGUCAAUCAACACUGAAGCUUUAAGGUGCCGCUUCACAGCAAGGGAAAGAGAAAGGAGAGUGCAUCUUAUUACACAACAGUUUAAGGUUUUUUUAUUACAAAUUUUCACAGCGUACACUACAUUUUUACUGCAAAUGAAUAUCAGCUCUAAAUAUCAGCUACCAGUUUCCUUGAUUAUGAAUAAUCGGUAUCUCUAUCAGCCAAAAAAAUAAUAAGUUAUCUGUCGAUCCUUAAAACAUUAGAAUUUUUUAUAUAUGAAUAAAGUGGAGAUAUGGUGGUACUUUAAUGCCACAUUUUGCAGCUCAAAGCAACUCAUGGUGCUGCUAUGUAAAAUGAGUCAGUGUUCAAAAUCGAAGACAUAUUGUAGAAAUUAAAAUAGACAGUAAAAGUACAUGCAAGAAACGAUUUCUGUAUCAUCUAGAAGAAUUUGAACUCUAUUUGGAUGUAAUGAGAUUGCCCUGCUAUAUCUCCAAUGUAAAGCAGUUUCUGUGUUUUGAAUAUACACUCAUGUAGUUUUGUAUCAUGUUGUAUUUCCCACUUUAAGAUGAAGCUUUUACCAUCACACAUUAGUGAAGAAUUUGAGGAGAAUCAUUUGAGACAAGCCAACUCAAGGUCACUUUCAUUCACCAAUCUGUUUGGUUCAGCCAUAACAGAUGAAUCAUGAAACUCAAUAUUACAAGAGAAGACCUUUUGACAUGCUUGAUAUUUGGCAGAAAAUGGUAUUAAAAUGCACAAGAGUUAUGGGUCCCAUACCGAGAACUUUUACAAGAAAUCGUCCUGGUUUUUGAUAGGCCAGUCCAGCAAUUAUGAAAUUAUGAGAGUUUUGAAUGGAGGAGGGGGAGGAAUGAGCUAACUCUUUGGCAGUGUUGGCCAUGAGAAAAGCCAGAUCAGCUGCUGUGUGUGUACUUGUGAUUAUUUUAAAAUCUAUCAGAUAAAGACAGCGUGAAAGGUUUAAGAUAUAGUUUUUGGAGCAGAGAGGUUCAGCUGUCUGCAUUGCUGUCUGACCACUGACACAGCUGCUCAAACUCUCACUGUAGACGUCCAUGCUGUGUGUAGACUGUGUGUUCGGGUGCAUGUGUGUGUCACAAGCUAAUGGCCGGUGUGUGUGCAUGUGAGAAGUCGUGAUAUUUCAUUUUGGGUGGUAGUGUUAGCAGCACUGGUGUUAGGGUUGACAAGGGUUAAACCUAGCUUGUUUGAAACAGGAUUAACCCCCCAAUUCUCAUGUGGACUCUCUGUGUGAGGGCGGCCAACAUUUUGCCUACCGUCACGUUCGCUUUAUGGAGCGGCUCUGGGCUGCUGGCGGACAGCUGAAACCUGAGAGGGUUCCUCAGCUCCUCCAAAUGUACUAGUAUAGGGGGGCUUUUAUUUGGUGAAACUUCCAUCCAGACAUGUGCUGCUUUGAGUUUCUAAUGUGUCAGGAUUUUCAGCUGCUUCUACAUCUGAGAAGUAUGAAUUUGAACAGAAGUAUGUAAAGGUUGGAGGAAUCGUGUUUGAGGCUACUUUACUCCCCUGCCAAAACUAAACCUUAGCUGAGGCUUAAGUCUGUCUGUGAAUGGCAUCAAGGUAAGGAAAAGCCUCAGCAGGUUUCCAGACUGCUCCAUGAGGAUGUUUGACUGCCAAGCAGGCUGAUGGACCAGGCCAGAGGCAGGUCUGCAAGGACUGUUAGGGCAACGUUAUGGCAUGCUUUGCCAAUUCUUUUGUGUCACAGCGUGCAUGUGGGAUAGUCCCACUCAUGGCUGCAGUGUGCGUCUAGUCUAGCAGGUGUCAUUUGAGACGGCCAGGGAGUAAUGCAAGGUAUGGCAGGCUCUGAAUUAUAGAAACUGGCAGCAGGCUAUGCUUAGAGAAAUGGGAUACAGUGCUUUUAAAUACACAGAUCGAGUGGCUGUCUUAAUCGCAGCAGAUUAGUACAUUAGUUUUUUAUUAGCUGCUUUGAGAUGAAAGUGAUGCGACACAUUAACAAAAGGGAAAAAGUCGGAGAAGCUGGUAAAAUAUUCAGAAAUUUGUCAAGAAAGCAAGAAUAUUCCGGCCUUAAAUUUAUUUAGAGUCAAACACACUCAGUCUGAUUGCAUUUCCAUGAAGAAAUGAUCAUAAAUGUUCUUGAGCUGCGUCCCGCUGCUGCAGUCAAUGAUGGACUGGUUAGAGGUCUCGCUACAAACAAGCAGCUGCUGGAAGAAAGUGGGUGAGUUGUGUUUAGUCUCUUUGCAAAAGAAAUCAGGCAAUGUUAAAAAGAUGUUUGGUGGCUAGUGCUAUGACUGGGACCCUGUUUAUACUGUUGAUGAAGUUAGGUGCUGUUCUGAGCAUUAUUUGUAACUGUAGAGUGGUGUUUUGGUUGAGGUUUAUGAGUGGCUCCUUAGACCACUGUGUAUUGCUAUUGUGCAGUUGUUACUAAAGUCGAUAUAACUAAGCAAGCGGUCGGCUACAUUCAUCUCGAGGGGGUGUAUAACUCGGUGUUACGGUGUCACUAAAUUAAUUUAACACCGGAAUAUCCCUUUAAACUGAUUCCACCAAACCAGGUAGAGAUUGGAGGACUUUAAUAUUCACGACUUAUCUAAACCAACAAAAACUCUUCUGUUUUCUUAUUUUUUUAUAUUGUAGUUGUAAAAUGCAAAAAAUCUCAGGGUCUAGUUUCGGUGUGAUUCAAUAGAUAGGAAUCUGCAGAAAGCCAAUGUGCAUCUGCAUUCCUGCAGGUUUCCAGAAAAGGACUCAUAACAGCCUGUAAAGAAUACUCUAAGCACAGUUUUUCCUCACAUGACAGAUAAACAUGCUAAUCUCUGUUUGUUCCCUUGUCUUUUCUCAUUUCCUCUUGGAUCGGUCUGAUACUAUAAUUUUCCAUGUGGUGUUGACACAGAGAAAUCCUUAUUUUCCCACAACCUAACAAUGGUAUAUUAUUUUCUAUAGAAGUCUGUUAACAACUCUUCAUGCUUUCGGCUGUUUUUGUUUAUGUCCCUGUUUCUCCUCCAUUUUGAUCAUAAUUGCCGUCCGCUUCCUUGGUUUUCCUCUCUCCCCCUUUCUCUGUAGCCCGCUCUAAUUUUGUUCCCUCCUUUCCUCUGCUUGAUGUGGUUGGAAAAAAAAGGGUUGCAGAGUAGAGGAAUCGGGGUUCGGAUGGAGUAAAAAACACAUAAAUAAGGGCAAAAAAGAAAAAGAGAGAAUAUAUGAGCAAUGUGACCCCAAAAGGAAAUUGUGUGAUUACUGACUCUGAGUUAUGCACUCCAGGCCAUCUGUUUAUAUGCCUACCUGCACAGUGUUUACCUGUCUGGAAUGAAAAAUUGGGAGAUAAAUCAAAUCAAAUUCCAACACAUUUGUCAGUGCUAAUGGGAAGAAGAUUUUAAAGUAAUGUUGACUUUGGAUUUCUGACCCCGCUCCAGUAAAUGCUCUCAUAGGAUGGCCCAUUUGGCAAUCAGGACCAUAUCUUUCACAAUUACUAGCAAUGCUUCGAUAAAACACACAUUUUCUUGAAAUACUUAUCAGACAUCAAACAUUUCCUCCACAGAAAUGCUGGGUUGUGACCCUGACCACGUAUUUAACCAAAGUCAGUCAGCAGCAGCAUUUCCUUCAUGGGCUGUAAAAUCACUCAGCGGCUGAAUCAUCUCUUCCAUGUUGCUCUAGCUGGACUUGUCAUCAUACUGUAGCAGCUCUGAUUGAUAUUCUCGUGGAAAAGCUGCCAGACAGCUCGGCUGCAUUCUACAGGAGCUUACUGGUAUAAUGUGCAUAAUUCACCGUGCUCAUUGUAAGCCAUCCGCUGCACUUCAGACUGAUUAGCCAUGAAAAUGUGGCAUACACAUUCUUCAGAGUUGGGCUCUCUGCACCACACAUAACAGUCGGUUUCUAUGAAUUUUCCAGGGCCUUUCCCAGGGCUUUAGUACAGUCAGGGGUCCUCCACCCAGGGGGGGAUGAAUGGACACAGCUGGAAUGUGAAAGAUGCUCGAUGUGGGGGAGAAAAAUGAGUCUGGAAACAUUAUUGACAUGUUCUUGGGACAACAUAAUGCUACGGUGCUGCAACACAGCUGAGACGAGUAAACAGCCCAGUCUCACUCCUAACUCAUCAAAAAUGUCAACUUGUUUACGUCUCAACUCUUAACAAUGUCCCCCAGCUUAUCGUUUUGAUGUGGUGUUGAAACCAGGUGCUAAGUAAAAUGUAGAGCAAAGACUACAAGGAUUCAGCGGGGACGGUGGUUAUGAGCAAUCACUGAGUCAGAGAAAAUAAGACCGUUUGCGAGAAGAAUUGGGUCAGAUUUAUAAGAAACGAAAAACAAGAGUGAACUUAUUUUAAGAAGUUCACUCCUUUAUAUUUAGCAGCAUAUGUGGUGUGCUGGUUAACUAGCAUGGUGUAUACAGCAUAUGCUCUCUGAGGUGAGUUAUUUUUUGUGCAAAAACACGACAGUAUGGGAUUUAGAGUGCAUUGGAAAAUUCAAAAUAAAGUAAACAGCCUCGCCUAAAGCAGUCACUUGAACAAAAUGUCUGUAAAAAAAGAGAGUAAUAAAGUGAUUCACUCCCUGCCUCAUUAACAACCACACAGAUAAUGCACAGGUAAAUCACAGCGCAGCACUGAUCUACAUUACAGUCAACUGCAAAAUAGACGGGAUUAAGUUUUUACAACCGUGCACCACAUGCUUGUUCUGAUUUUAAAAAUGGAAAUGAACGCCUGCAACACUUAAAUCCUUAGAUUUUCUCAAAAUUGACAGUGCGCCUAAUGUAUGAUUACUUAUUGUGCUUACUGACCGAUUUCACGUGGUACAAUGCACUCAAAAAUCUAUCGAAAUGUGAAAGUGUGACUUUGGUAAACUCAAUGGAUAUUCUGAGCAUACGGUACGCUGUGUUGCUACCUGAUAGGACCCCUGAGCAGUCUACAACACUGUCUGACUACAAUGUCUAAACUGGAAGUGCAUUUAUGUAAGGCAGCCCGGCCCGGAGUAUGCGCUAGCAACAAUAAACCAAUCAAUGCUUAAUGCGCCUUACAAUCCGGUGCGCAUUAUGUGUGAACAAAGACACGUUUAUUCACAGUGCGCCGUACAACCAGGUGCACCUUAUCGCCCGAAAAAUAUGGUAUUUACAAUAACAAUAGAUACACAUAAAGUGUAAUGACGAUCACUCUAGUGUCUGGAAACACUGGUAAAUAAUAAUAUUUCUCUCUUCUUCAGUAAGUGCUUGAUGAGGCUCUGUCACUCAACACACGAUUAAUUUAUUACAGUUCUUUUAAAAAAAAUGAAUAUUUGUGGGGUUUUUUAAAGAGAAGAUAUUUAAACAUCACCUUUUUAACUGAUUUUGGCAACCCUAUGAGGUACCAAAAUAUUUUCUUUAUUAUCUGUCACUCAUGCCGGACAGUUGGCAAAGUUACACAGCAGUCAUGCCAGCAUUAAGUUGUACUGCCCCCGUUAGCCUCCUCAAAUUGACUAAAAUCGAUAUUACCAAAAGGCCAAAAAAGGGCUGGUUCAAAAUUAAACAGACUAUAGACAGUUUCUCACUCCACAAAAAGCCAGCACUCACACUGUACAUCCCCUUCCUCAGGUAUGCUCUAUGUUUUAUUGAAGCCUGAGGGAGCUGCUUAGUGUGGUCAGUCACAGGUGCAGGGAAAUGGCAGCUCGGCGCUGGGCCCAUGACAACUGUCAAAAGGCGAAAUGAAGGCUCAGGCAGCAUGAGCCGUCAAGUCAGGCAGGAAAUGUACUGUUUUUUUCUUUUUUUUUGGUUUCCACAUGAAGGAUAGGAAGGAGGGUGGCACACAAGGGCAGCCCCUAGUCAACCCCACAUCUCCAGCCAGUCACACUUAUUGGACCGUGGCUUUCUCACCCAAUCCCUCAGAGCCCCAGAGGAGGAGGCUGACAGCUCCUCCAACAGGCCUUACUGCUUUGGAGUGUCAGCAACAGGUGCCAAAGACUUUCUCUGAGUGUGGUUGUUAUGCAUCACCUUAGAAACUUCAGUCUGUUGUGUUUUUUUUUAUCCUCUUAGAGAAAUAAGACUCCUCUGAAGGAGAUGAAGAGUGGAGAAACGGACUCCUUCACAAUGAGCUGUUUGGAUCAAUCAAGGACUCAUAUUUUUUACUACAAAUAGCUCUUUAAUAAAUAAACUGAGCCAAGCCUGGACUUAAAAACAACCUUUUUAACAAAUUAAUAAACACGCAGUAACAGCUGCAAUUCGAUGUUGGACUGGCUUCCGAUUGUUAGUCCUGCCUGACCUGAAUCAAUCUCAAACAUAUAAAGAUGAAGACAACACAGUUAUUUCCAAUCUGUGUCUUUACAACCUAACUCUUCUGUCUCAAAUAACCCCGAAAAUCUGUAAUAAAUCAAGAUUAAGUGGAAAGUCCUGUUUCCAGAGGUCUGACUUUGAGAUAAAGCUCUUUCAGCAACAUCUUGUGAUUUCAGCUUGCCUUAAUAUUUAUGACAAGUUAUCCCUUGUUAAAAGAAAGCCAUUCGAACCCUUUAGUGGCUCCCUUUCGAGUUAAAAGUUUAUCAUAAGGUAUUCAAUGUGCACCAAAACAGUUUCACAAAACUUCAAAUCCAAAACUCUGUUCAUGUUAGAACCUAUAUGCACCUACUAUUUCAGGAACAAUCAAGUUUGGAGAUGGAGACUUGAAUAAAAAUGUUGAAUUAGUCGAGGGAUUUACAAGUCUGCAUGUUCGAAAAGCUCAUGAAAAGCUCCUAUUAAUCAUUUUGAUGGUUUUACUGGAAUAAAACAUUGUAAGGGAUGAGGUAAUUGGGGAAAAGAGUUCACAGGAGAGAAGCUUACUCUCCUCAAUUGAAAGUCAAACGACGAAUACAGCAUAUUCAGCUCACACGCCGGUCACGCUCACUUAAAAACCCAACAUAGCUUUUAAAAACCCCAACAGCUCAUUGAUUGAGCUACCAGUCAUGAAGCUAACAACUCGAGCAGUGCAGUAACUGUGGGAAAGAGCCAUGGUGGCUGCAGACUAUGGCUAUUGUUGAUGUGUGUGUGUGUGUGUGUUCAUGUAAAGCAAAGCUGUGGCUGUGGCCCACACACGCUGCUGACUUUGUAAACGCCUGUGUCAGGAUCAAAAGCGGGGCUAUCUGCAGACACACUUGAUUAGUGAAAGGGCAGCUCACAAUAGCAGCUAUAAUGAAGACUGCUGGACUGCUUUUUCUCUCCUAAUGCUCUAAGUACUGUAAGAGCUCAGUCUGUUUUGAUUGGCAUUGCGUGAUCUUCAUGUAAAAAGAGGUAAAGAUCUGAUCAAUUUUUGAGUUUAUCUCUAGCAUUAGUAUUUAUAUAUUUGAUUUCAGAUUUAAUUUUCAGGACAAGGUUUUUUUUUUCUUCCUCCAACUGGAGAUUUAGCUUUAAUCUUGUCUUUUUUAAUCACUUUCCUCACCCCCUGCACUCGCGAUGACUGGACACACUUUCUUUUGUUAUCAAAAGUCCUUGGUUUUGUUUCUUAAUGCUCCAUUUGAAAACCAAUUAGCUUCUCUCUUGGAUUCAAUUACCAAAGUGAAAGGCUAGCGCUAUCUUGCCUCUGCAAUAAUAACACAAUAAUUGUAUUCACACGCAGCUCCUCCUCCAGCCCAGGCCUUUGGCGCACUGCUCUUUCAACCAGUGCCCGAGCCCCUCCUUUGGCCUUGGCUGCGUGCUUGUGAGUUGAUUCAAACGUGGAGUGAUUGUAUCACUUUCUGAUAAACAAAACUCGGCUGUUGGCCUGGCUCGUCUUUCAAAAUCAAUGAGGUCGGUAACAUUCAGAAUGGAUCUCUCCUUGAGGACACGGUAAGCGCCUUGAAAAUGAACUCCAUAUUUCCUCUGCUGUUGGCACAUAGGCGUCUGGGUGUGUGCCUGUGCUGGCUGGAGACUGUGUGUAAAAAUUAGUGUACAUGUGCGACAGCAGAAGGGUCCGAGUUUGCGGCUGGGUGAUUAUGUGUUAGUGCAGAGUGUGUGUCUGUGUGUGCGUGCAUGUGUGUGUCAGCAGUCAGUCAUAAUCUGGAAAGCUUCACCACUCACCAACAAUGUUGAUGAUGUGUGCGCACAACACAGGCAAAUGGCCUGAGACAGCAGUGAAUAUGCGUGUAAUGAGGUUGAAACUGAAGAAAGAUUGGGAGUUCAGACACAAGAGCUGUGUGAGUUGAUUUCUUCAUCCCUCUUUGUUAUUUUCAGAUUCAGCCAAAUGCCACAAUGUUCUUUUUUUUCCAUGACAGGCAAAUGUUGCUUUUGGAGUAUGCUUUAUAUAAGGCACUUUAACCUCAUCUUUUGAAAUAGUAAUUAAUGAAUACAUGUUAAAAGAUUUCAGUGCUUGCUUUACUCAGAAAACUGUAUUUUUGAUAGAUUGAUUAUAAACCAAAUUGCAAUCUAAAAAGAAUAUAUAUUCAAAAGGUUGGCCUCCUUGUUUGUGUCUUAAAGGGAAUGGUUUUCUUAAAUGAGAAAAGUAAGUAUAAUAAAAUGACACUCCGACCUCAGAGUGAGCAUUCUUCUAUUUAAAUAUAUUUAAGACCUAUUCACAAGAGACUGAAGAAGUUCAAAAUGUUUGCAAAGUGAAUUUUUUUUUUCUUUUUUUUUUUAAUUUGUAACUCUAUAGAUGGUAAGUAGGGGUGGGAGAAAAAAUCAAUUCACAUGGCGAUUUUUUUGUUUUAUAAUUUUUAAAUUGACUUUUAUGUUCAAUUUUUUUUUUUUUUUUUUUUUUUUUACAUUAAAGAAGAAAUCUUAAAAACUGCCUUACAUACACUCACCGGCCACUUUAUUAGGUACACCUGUCCAACUGCUCGUUAACACUUAAUUUCUAAUCAGCCAAUCACAUGGCGGCAACUUAGUGCAUUUAGGCAUGUAGACAUGGUCAAGACAAUCUCCUGCAGUUCAAACCGAGCAUCAGUAUGGGGAAGAAAGGUGAUUUGAGUGACUUUGAACGUGGCAUGGUUGUUGGUGCCAGAAGGGCUGGUCUGAGUAUUUCAGAAACUGCUGAUCUACUGGGAUUUUCACGCACAACCAUCUCUAGGGUUUACAGAGAAUGGUCCGAAAAAAGAAAAAAUAUCCAGUGAGCGGCAGUUCUGUGGGCGGAAAUGCCUUGUUGAUGCCAGAGGUCAGAGGAGAAUGGCCAGACUGGUUCGAGCUGAUAGAAAGGCAACAGUGACUCAAAUAACCACCCGUUACAACCAAGGUAGGCAGAAGAGCAUCUCUGAACGCACAGUACGUCAAACUUUGAGGCAGAUGGGCUACAGCAGCAGAAGACCACACCGGGUGCCACUCCUUUCAGCUAAGAACAGGAAACUGAGGCUACAAUUUGCACAAACUCAUCGAAAUUGGACAAUAGAAGAUUGGAAAAACGUUGCCUGGUCUGAUGAGUCUCGAUUUCUGCUGCGACAUUCGGAUGGUAGGGUCAGAAUUUGGUGUCAACAACAUGAAAGCAUGGAUCCAUCCUGCCUUGUAUCAACGGUUCAGGCUGGUGGUGGUGGUGUCAUGGUGUGGGGAAUAUUUUCUUGGCACUCUUUGGGCCCCUUGGUACCAAUUGAGCAUCGUUGCAACGCCACAGCCUACCUGAGUAUUGGUGCUGACCAUGUCCAUCCCUUUAUGACCACAAUGUACCCAACUUCUGAUGGCUACUUUCAGCAGGAUAAUGCGCCAUGUCAUAAAGAUGGAAUCAUCUCAGACUGGUUUCUUGAACAUGACAAUGAGUUCACUGUACUCAAAUGGCCUCCACAGUCACCAGAUCUCAAUCCAAUAGAGCAUCUUUGGGAUGUGGUGGAAUGGGAGAUUCGCAUCAUGGAUGUGCAGCCGACAAAUCUGCGGCAACUGUGUGAUGCCAUCAUGUCAAUAUGGACCAAGCUCUCUGAGGAAUGCUUCCAGCACCUUGUUGAAUCUAUGCCACGAAGAAUUGAGGCAGUUCUGAAGGCAAAAGGGGGUCCAACCCGUUACUAGCAUAGUGUACCUAAUAAAGUGGCCGGUGAGUGUAUGUUGAAGAAAUAUGGUUUCUGGAAAAGUCAGUAGACAAUCAUAAUCGUUCAACUGUUUCACUGGUGUUAAAAAUCGUAGAAUCGCAAUUUAAAUCAAAAUGGCAUCCAAAAAAAUCGUACAGGAAUCAAAUCGGGUGAAAAGCAUAUCAUCCCAGCCCUAAUGGUAAGUCAUCUUUGUCUUGACUACAUUUCACUAGCAUGUUUCAGUAUUCAUCACACAUUUACGCAGCGAUACAUGGAAAUUUUAAAACUUAGGUCAUAAAAAUAUUUGCACUAAGAAUUAUGAAGGUGAGCAAGGCAGCACAGUCGACACUGAAAGACUUGAAGGAUUGCGCAACCUGGAAUUGAAAUCACUACAUCUGAGUGUCAGCCCUGAACUUACACAUUUAGAUAUUUCACAAAAAAUUUAAAAAAAAAAUUAAGCCUGUAAUUAUAUAUAUAUAUUUUUUUUCUGUAUUUUGUAACAAAUGCAUAUACAGCAGAUUUAUCUCAGCAUAAAGAUAAUGUGUGUUUUGUUGAUGCUCAAACAUCUAAUGAGUAAAGAACUGGUAAAUUCAAAGUUUAAACUCUUCUGUUUAAGGAUUUCCUAAGUGGGGCACCACUGGCAGAGCUCGUGCCUCAUGUACAGAGGUUAUGCCUCACGCUGGAAGCCCAGGUUCGAUUUCAGCCUGAGGCCUCUUUCCCGUAUGUCACUGCCUUCUCUAUCCCCAUUUCCUGCUCUAUUCCUCGAGUCCUGUCCUCUCUAAAGAAAGGCAACGAGUCCUAAAAUAAAUCUUUGAAAAACAAAUAUUCAAAGUGAACUCCUUUAAUCAGGUGAUGAAAAGACCGUUUUAUUUUUGCACACUUUAAAUGUCCAAGACCACCAACUAUGCAGCUUAAAGUGUCUCAACACUCACCAUUGUUAGCCGCCACUUCUGUGGGUGCUGUGAUUACAUUUAAUUGGCCUGCCCUCAGAAACCUUUACGCUCACACACUUCACACCAGCACCUCUCGUGGCUUUCUCAAGGUAAGUCUAGAAGGUGCCUCGUAGCUCGCUGACCUCAAAACAGUUUUCACUUCCUGUACGGGUUGAAGUCGUCUUGACCGGAGUAAAUCAACCUCCCCCACGCUUCAAUUACACAUCCCGCUUCUGUUACCAGCUCCCCCCCCCACAACAAUUUUAAAGCUAAUUGCAGCCGACAUAAACAUGCAGUUAGCGUAUUGAUAUGUGGUUAAGGGAGUUAAAUUAUGCACUAGCAUCUCUUUAAGCUGCACUUGAACCUGAGAAGGGGAGGUGAAACAAGGAAGGGGGAAAUACCUUCAGUGCAUGCAAGAGCCAAGAACAUUAGCCCACAUCUGCUUCAGCGUGAUUAUUAUGUUAUCUGUGAUCCGUAAGAAUCAGGUCAACACUGCGGCUGAAAUAUAGCAGGACUUGUUCUAUGAAUAUGUAGAUUUGCAUGUGAUAUUUGCAUAGCUGAAUAGCAGAGAAGUUAAUGCAAACAACAUCUGCUCAGAGUCGUGCACGACGUACCUAGAGUUUUUUUUAUUAUUUGAAAUGUCCACUUUAACCUUUGGAAAUUGGUUGUAACGUUCAGUAUUUACAGAUACUGAUUACAUUUUGGAUCCAGAAUAAAUGAGAAUUGCAAGUGGAGUCCACGCUGAAUAAUGCAUUUAUUGUCCGGAGUCCGAUACCCAUUACUAUGACAAUGUUGACACAAAACACAGAAGCUACAUUGGUGGGAUUAUUAUACGCAAUGAAUGGAAACCUUUUCUAAUGUGCCCAGUUUUUAUUCCGGCCCUGAAAUAAUAGUCUAACUCAGCUCUGGCAACACAAACUUUACAUGCCCCAUCAGCCGCGGCGACGAUUAAGUUAUGAAAACAGUUUGGAGUGGGUCAGUGAUUCUGCCUUGCUCUGCGGCAAGUGUUCAUCUCAGAGAUGUGCUGAAAUGUACGCUGUAUGUAUUCUCAGGGGUACAAGGCCAAAUCAACAAGAAAAACCAUCAGCGUUGAGGGAUAUAAAAGCAAGCAUUUGUCUUUAUUAAAGUGCCCGGUUUACGUAAGAGGACCCCCAAGUCCUCCUUGGAUUAUAAAUGGGCUCUGAAAAUAAACAGGUGUUGAAGAAAGCGAAAGAGAAAAUCUGAAAUCAAUCACUAGAAAUUUUAUAUUUUUCUCUCUCAGAAAUGAAGUGAGCUAUAAAAUCAUCGCACACUAAAAUCCAUACUUGCACCAUUUACUCUUAUUUUUAUAUCAUAAGGGGUCUAUAUUUUUAAACUCUCAAAUAUUAACACCAGAUGAUUUACGAUAAAAAAAAAAAUACACUGUGAAGAUGUAAUACGCUUGAUUAUAAACAUAAAAACACGUCAGAGGUUUUCUUUAUGAUAAUGACAUAAUGGUGUGUCUGCCGUAUAAUGUGGGACCACAAUAAGGUUGCAAUUAAACACAAAUGAUGAUGAUGAUGAUGAUGCACGUACACGAACAACUUUGCAUGUGCACACUUUCUCUGAAUGUUUGAUGCUUUGAUAAAGAGAGGGGAAAAAUAUCCUGAAGUCCGCUGUCAUUAAAUCGGUGUCAGUUUAUUUGUGUAAGACACUGGAGCUCAGGAGGAGAGCUGGAGAGUAAGGGUGGUCCGCAGUCCAUUUAUUCACGGCUCGCUGGCAGCUGAUCAGUGGAAUUUAGUUUUUUGCUGAAAUUUGGAAAAGGGGAGGGUGAAUUUUUUAAAGAAUAUGAGCUCUGAACUUUUAUUCUUUAAGGAAAAGAUUAAGUUUCAGGGUUUUUGUGUGCCAAGAGUCAAUUGAUGACCGGGAGAAAACGGCAGAAUUUAAGUAUAAGAACUGGAGAAGAAACUAAUAACCAUGAAACUAGUUUCUGCAUGUGUAGACAGGCAGGGAGACGUAUUAAUGGAGCAGUAAUGUGGAGGGUACAUUGGCCCGAGCCUCCAGGGCUUACCACGGGGGGGACUUUGGAGCAGCUGUUUUUUAGCUGCUCUAAAUGGAGACGUUGUCCUGUGUGGUGCUCCAUUUUGGAUUCUCAGCCCCCACCCUUCACCGAUACUUCCCCAAACCAGCUUCACUUUCCCUCCCCAUGCGCAGCACAGAGAAGGGGGUCAGGGGUAGCGGCGAAGGUGGGGCAGCCAUCUAAACUGAAGCCAUCAUCAGCCACUCUCCCUCACCCCCACAUACCGACCCCCUACUCCCUUUUCCUGCCUGAUGUGGCCCUUGACAGGAUCUCAUCUCACACGACCAGCCUGGGCUCCCUCCAGAGUGUCAAAGCAGGUCUUAAUUUUAAAAGCCCCUGGGUUCAAUGCAAACUAUUCAGCUAUGCUUACCACUCAAUUAUCUUCCUGUCCCUUUUUUUUUCCACCGCCAAAGCCCCCUCUGAAAGAACCGCGGAGCACUCUGUGGUGGGUCUGACUCGGUAUCAGUUCCCUGGUGCCCCUGUCCUUUAAGACUACAUCCAAACACACGGUGACAAAAGCAAGGAUUUAAGGUCAUUUCAUACGCACAAGAGUGUAUGUGGCGCUCCAGAAAUGGCCCUGCUUCCUUGGAUGCUGGAGUGAUGUCAGCCCCCUUUGAUUCUCUGUUUCUCACAGUAUUUGACAGCCCCUCUGGUAGCCAUUAGUUUGGUUAAGGAUUGCCCCCUUUUCUCCUCCAGUGGUCAGUCAGAAACAAAUAAUGUGCUCUGCCCUCCAGUGUUUGCCGAAAAAGCCCUGCGAGACCUUGCGGCUUGGAAACGUUUACGAAACACUCAGAACCACAGGAAACAUCCAGAGGAAAACGUUCCCUCUCUCCCUUAACCCUCCCUCCCCCCUUCCCCCGCCGCAGCUCCUCACCGGCAAUGGAUUUGGGACCAGAGAGCUUGAGAAAGGUCAAAGGUGGGUAAGAGAAAAGCACAGAUGACUCUCAGAUGGAUUAGCACUAAGUGAUUCAGACUCUCCCACACAAUCACAACACCUAAGAGGUCAUUUUCACGAGGCAUCCGAGAUCAGUCUGUUUUGGUGAUUUCAACCACCAGCUGGGCAGAUGGUACACAGAAUUGUAAAUUUAUCUUGUUCUUUACCAACGAACUGUGAAGGGAGAGAAAACUUCUGCAAGCAAUUUCCCUCUGACAGCUCAGAGGAAUGUUUUGCAUUGCUUGUUUGGCUGAAUCUGUUUUUUUUUCUUCUUGUUUUAUUUAGGAAAGCACUCUAUAAAUAAAGUUUGCAUUAUUACUACAGGAAGGAGCAGAAUUAAUGUCAGGCGGCUGAUUGUUCAAAACCGCCCCAGAAAACAUCCUCAUCAGUAAGUAAGUGGAGCGUAACUCUUUGACAAAUUAUGAGUCCUCGAGCAGAGGUGGGCGAGCCGUCAUCAGUCUUGAGAACAUGUGAAAACAGAGUCAGGUGGGUUAACAUACUUAAACUUAAAUUAACUGUGAUCCAUCAUCGAGAGAAUAUCUCACCCGUCCAGGAAAACAGGCGCGAUAAGAGAGAGGCUGCUUAUCAAAAACCAAACACUGUACUCGUUGGUGUCUAACAAAAACGUCCAAGCAAAGGCUAAAAGUCCAGAUGAGGAGUUGGAUUUCUUUCAGGGUUGGAGAAAACUCCCUCACAGUGGCCUGCUGUAAUGGAUGACUUCACUUCCACUAUCUGUUAGCCAGAGAAAUUAUUACCACGGAUACUUGGUGGUGUAAGGAGAUUGGAUGGGUGAGCCUUAAUAAACUUUUUCAAGCAGGAGCAGAGCCUUGUGAAAAUGACUUUUUUUUUUUGUUCUUAUCUUCAUUUAAGUACAUCAUUUUCUGCUGUGACACACACUGUGUUCACACCACUGAGGUCUAUAUCAUCUCAGAACUGUAAGAUGAUGCCUGACUUUCUCUGCCUGAGUGUAUAGCUAUAAGACAGACCUAUAUUAGGGUGCAUUCACACCAUAGACUGUAUAUACUAUGGACAACUUGGUUCCGCCCUCUGCCGGUAUAUGGAAUUGAAGCCAAAAAGCUCUCGGUAAUUUCGCAUUUUCUCUCCAUUUCCUGAAACCAACAUUGCGCAGUAGUAUUGUGUGCAUUCGGUGGGAGAGAGUCACUGUGAAGACAUUGAUAAAUACUUCAAGGUCAUAAACACAAUCGCCAACGCAGCAAACACUUCAUAUUCAAUCGUCACAACUGAAGCAUUUUUGGGCCUGUAGGGGGCGCUUACUUAAAUUAGACACACACCAGUUUGAGGCAUUAAAAAUUGCAGGAUACAAAUCAUCAAUCUUGACAGAAACGGUCUUAUUUACUUUUAUAUAUCAUAAAAAGGCAUUAAUAUGAAUUGUAGUAUGUUGCAGGAGUGUCAAAAACUCCUCACAGGAAUUUUAAGAAGUACUUGAUAUAGUUGAGUGUCCUCAUUCAGAAAAAUAAAAGGUAUUUGUGGCAUGCCUAAUUUUUUUUAUUUUAGAGAAAUUAAUAGUGUUUUUCCAGAGAUAAUUACAAAUAGAAACUACCAUCCAUUAUCCUGAUAGGAUGUGUUGCAAAAAUAUUUAAUUUUCUCAUGUCAUUAAUGUAUAUCUAAAUUUGUUUCCUGGACUGGUUUAUUGUUCUUUUUUUUUUUUAAAGUAAGAACUUUUUCUGACCAGAAACCAGCAGCUCCAAAGAUUAAAAACAUACCAGUGAAGAGCAGCAGAUUUACACGUCAAAGAGUCUUGUUCUAGAAGCUGUUUUUUUUUUUGUUUUUGUUUUUUUGUAUGUUGCCAAUAUUUUAAAAAGAAUAUUUUAUCAUACAAAAUCGUUGUUAUUAAUUUUCUGUGGACUGGAUUACUAAUGAAUGAACCCUUUGCUAACUCCUUGGCAUUGAAUGUUAACAUUUAGUGCAUUGUUUAUGAAUUGUUUAGCCUAGAAGUAGAACAUCCUUUGAGCUGUGUGUGUAUCACGUACUGUUUUUCAUUUAGUAUUCACUUUGUUUUGCCAGGCUCUCCCUUGGCUUUAAAGUUGCCUGCAUGUGUCUCAUUCCUCCUCGCUGCCUGAGGAAGAGUACCGACUAGAGACACAUUGCAGCGUGUGCAUUAAGACUGAGGAGCUGCACAUCUUUCUAAUGUUAUUUUUGCAUUGUUAAGCAUGAAAUAAUGUCUUUGUGCAUUAGGGCUCUCGUUCUCUCUCUCUCGUUCAAACAUCUUAAAAAAAAACAUCAGAUGUGUCUCGGAUGAGAAGUUUGAUCAGAACUAGGACACUUUAAGCUGAAGUGUGAAUUUUGCUUCAGCCACAGUCCUCCAGCUCCCCCUCUCUCCUGUCAGGCACUUCUCUCUCUCUCUCUCUUUCUCUGUUUUUGACUCCCAGACCGCCCUCUUACAUUCCCUCUUCUCUUUCUCGCCCCCCAUACUUUUCUCCCUCUUCUCCCAAAUCGACCCCCUCCUUUUCGCACUCUGCCCGCUCCUCAAAUGAGACACACUCAUACAUCACUAUCUCUCUAAAACCAAUCUCCCACUAUCUCUUUAUCAGACCCUCUUUCCCUUCCCUCAUUGUCCUCCAUCCUGUGUUUUUCUCCCAGUCUAUCCUCUCUUUACCUCUUUCGGAGCUCUCACAUGUGGACUUGAUCAGUGAGGCUAACGCAGCACAUACAGCUAAAGGCUUGAGGCUGGGGUGUGGUGUGGGGGCAUGUUUGAUAUAAAUCCCC
Xyrichtys novacula (pearly razorfish) is the source of this 25216-nucleotide non-coding RNA. NCBI's taxonomy places the organism in Eukaryota, Metazoa, Chordata, Actinopteri, Labriformes, Labridae. The record is from the annotation of a GenBank genome assembly.